CCUACGGGAGGCAGCAGUGAGGAAUAUUGGUCAAUGGGCGCGAGCCUGAACCAGCCAAGUCGCGUGAAGGCUGACUGCCCUACGUGUUGUAAACUUCUUUUAUAAAGGAGUAAAGUGAGGCACGUGUGCCUUUAUGUAUGUACUUUAUGAUUCCGGCACGGCUAACUCCGUGCCAGCAGCCGCGGUAAUCCGGAGGAUCCGAGCGUUAUCCGGAUUUAUUGGGUUUAAAGGGAGCGUAGAUGGGUUGUUAAGUCAGGUGUGAAAGGUUGCGGCUAAACCGUAAAAUUGCAAUUGAUACUGGCAGGCUGGAGUACAGUUGAGGUAGGCGGAAUUCGUGGUGUAGCGGUGAAAUGCUUAGAUAUCACGAAGAACGCCGAUGGCGAAGGCAGCUUACUAAACUGCCACUGACAUUGAUGCUCGAAAGUGUGGGGAUCAAACAGGAUUAGAUACCCCUGUAGUC
This 460-nucleotide ribosomal RNA is filed under the name uncultured bacterium. Its description in RNAcentral is "partial 16S ribosomal RNA". It matches the Rfam family "Bacterial small subunit ribosomal RNA", at positions 338 to 795 of the family's 1533-position model. The record is from RNAcentral.